Canis lupus familiaris (dog) is the source of this 7701-nucleotide RNA transcript. It is a transcript of the gene named collagen alpha-2(I) chain-like, with no coding region annotated. The record is from RefSeq and is a predicted model, not a curated record. NCBI's taxonomy places the organism in Eukaryota, Metazoa, Chordata, Mammalia, Carnivora, Canidae. The transcript has 19 exons.
UUCUCACUUCAGUACCCUGGACCCCCAGGAGGAAAAAAAUGCAGGAAAUUGUGGCUACCCAGGCAACUGAUGAAUCUGAUCUGACCACAGGCAGCAGCAGACACCUGUGUCACGGAGGAAGUUUCAGAGCAUCUCGUCAGUUCUCAGAAGUCCAGUGACUCUUAAAAGAUAGUUGACUGGCUGUUGAGAUGGGGAGCUUGUUAUGUGACGACAAUUUACCUGUGGAGGAGGGACUGUGGGAGGAAGAGGAUGCUGAAAAAUUCUCAAACGUGAAAGUCUACAAAUUCAAUAAUGGUUUUGAUUGAGAGGAAGACGAAGAUUCAAAGUGGGAUGAGGAAGACUGCAACAUGAUGGAAGAGAGAAGAGAAGAAGAGCACUUUCAGCUGGAGCUUGGCAUGUGUUAGGCCACUCUCCCCAUCCCUGUGAAGUUCUGGAAACAGCUGUUGGAGAAGUCAGAGUUGAAUUCCAGCGGCUAUUGUAGAACAGGAAGGCGGAAUGCUCCACUGUUACCUCAGAAUAUCUGAUUGCUUACUAACGGGUUCUGUGCAGGCAGAGGAGUGCCACAGCUGCACCUGAGGCACAGAACCAUCAACAUAGUGAAGCCAGUUUCCACGAUGGCGAGAGGGGGCACCGGAGGUGACAGCGAGGACAAGGACCCAAGGACCAUCCUUCCGACAAGUUUUAGAACUGAGUAUCUUCGGGAGAUAUGGGCUCCAAAAGAAGUGGCAUCCUCCUCGAAUGGAAAGAUUCUCAGGCUGAUGGAGUGAGUGACAGAGUGGGUUGCCAACUCGAGUGACUCCACUCAGUGUACACAGUGGCUACGGGGGAUAGAUUCAGACAUGCCCAAAGAAGUCUGCCUAUGGGGAGACUCAUACCUUUGAGGUUUAAAUCAGAAACUACACGAUUCUUGUUGCUAUAUUUUGUUAAAAAGGAAAGAGAGGCUGUUUCUACAGGUGUUACAGAAAAAUCAAUACUGAGCCACGGAUUAUUGGAUCCCAUAGAACCAUGGAGACUUGGCAGUGAAAUUCUUCCAAAGGCAGACGGUGUUCCUAGGUUUGGAAGUAUAAAUCCCAGGGGAAGUGAGCUGAAGAACAUUUCAUGCAUCACUCAUCCUAUUAUGAGCCUUGUGCUGUUCCAUCUCUCUACAAGACUGGCAGAAACAACAACAAAAAUUGUUUAUAAUUUACAUUCUAACUUUGGAUCACCUAGCUCAUACCCUGACUCUGACUACCCAGAGAGACAAAGCUUUGAAGGAAGAAGUAGCUAUUGGAAGGCCGUUUCUGCUUUAUUAAUAAAAUCACAGGGAAAAUGCGACAUUCUGGAUGUCCCAUCUGAUGAGGAGUCAACAUCAAGAGGAAAGUAGUUGUACUUUUAUUGCACACCUACAUUUUAUUUGAAGACUAAGAAAUGUAAAUUCAGAGACAUAAGCAUGAGAAAACAAAUAUCUCAAGGAGUCAACAUAGAAAGGAAACGAGUUGUACUUUCAUUGCACACCUGCAUUUUACUUGAAGACUGAGAAAUGUAAAUGCAGAGAGAUAAGCAUGAAAGAGAGAAGAAAAAGAUACAACAGCGAUGAAAAACUCUACAUAAGUGGUAUAUUUUAUCUUCUUUGAAUUUCCUGGGAAAAAGUCUUUCAGUCAAAGAAUAAAAAGCUUUUGACUCAUUGGAACUUUCUGAGUUAGACUUGUUUUCACAGGAGCAAAUAGUGAACAACAUUGAAACAUUUAUUUUGGAAUCUUAAGAAAAAUUAUAUCUCGAACUCUUUGCAGCGGUUGACUGAUUGUACCCGCCAGCUGGCUAAUAUCAUAAUUAACAAAGUUGCUACUACAUCUGCAAAGUUUAAUCGAAAAAUUUGCCAGUGAUAUGAUGGCAUUGUCACAAAGAUCACAAGGGACACGGAGUUGACUUUUGCUCAAGGUGGAAUGGCAAAGCUGUAUAAGCAAGACAAGAAAUUGUGAACUUGUUCAGCCAAAGGUUAUGCUUCAUAUCACCCACCGGGGAGGAUCAUCUCUCAUGAAAACUUUCAAAUUUGAUUUUGAAAAUUAUUCAGAAAAAUUUAAGCCACACUGUCUCCCAAUAUAGGAAAGAAUAUACUCUGGAGGUUCCUGUAAUUCAAAGAAAAUGGACCAGGAUGACAUUUGGGUUCUCGUGCUACCAAAAUCCUCUUGAGAAGGAUAGCCAGUGUCGGAACAGAACUCGUCACCUUGGACGUCGGAGGGCCCCUUCGUUGUCUCUGUUUGUGGUUACAGCGUUUGCCUAUUCCUUGUGCUAUUUUUAUUUUUGUCAUUGGAGUCCAUGAAGACUUAAUCAUCGGCCCUCUCUAAUUUUCCGGAAAGAAAAAUAAAAAAGGAAAUAUGUUGAUUUAUUGAACUGGCUGCAGAAAGAGAAGAAGAGGAAGAAGAAGGAGAAGCAGAAGAAGAUCAAUCUGCCAUUGAGGCUAAUACCGGGCGGCCGGGAAGGAGGCCGCGCUCGAGGGUUAUCUCGCCGCCUCAGAUGCCGGGAAGCCCAAGGAGCCCAGGCGCUUCUGGACGACGUUCAGCAAGGCCGCGGGGAUUCCUGCGCGGAGAGGAGCCUGCCUGUUCUGUUCCAAGUUUUGAAUUGAGAAGAACAGCACUGAAUGGAGAUGGUGAAGCAGGAGAAGCUGAGGAUGAAUGUAUUGGUAUAUUCAAAUAUGUUCAAGGACAUGGAAGAGUAUAUUGAAUUGGGGAAGCCAAGGCUGAAUGAUCUGCCCACGGUCAUACCACAAUAGGAAUCCUACCCAUGUCUGUGGAUCUAGAAUGCAGCGACCAUCCAGUGGGCAACAGUGGCUUUACGGAAACCUUGAUGGUGGAGAGGAAAAGGUGGAGUCAACAGCCUUCAAGGAACUGACACCCCUCAGGUCAAAUUCCUGCAAGGAAAUGAAUCUGCUCACAACUACCUAACUGAAUUAAGUGGAUCCCUCACCAAGAGAAUUCUUAUUUUCCAAGCCUUGGAAUGACUGAAGCCCUAGUUGGCAUCCUGCCUGAAGCUUGUGAGGUGCCUUGCAGCAGAAGAUCCAGCUGAGCUGUGGCCACACUCCUGACCUACAGAAGCUAUGAGAAAAUAAAUACUGUUGAUUCAAGCCGCUAAAUGUUGGGGUCAUUUUUUAAUGCAGCGAUAAAUAACUAAUAGACUCUUUUGGAAGUGGAGGAUGUUGUGGAAGAAGAUGGCCCAUCAUGAUUCAGAUAGAAAACAAGAUUCAUGUGAACACAGCAGAAGGACCCAAAGAAUAGAGGGCAAGAAGUGAGCUGUCUUCAGAAGAUCUCAACUAUUUCCCCAUGAUCACUCUGCUCCAGUAGCUUUUCUCCAUCAGCAUGUCUGGAAUCAACCUUUAAUUGGAUAGUUUGCAAUACUUUUGCUUUGGACUAGUUGUAUUUCAAAGCACUUAAAUUGCUCAACCUGCUCCAAUACAUUUACUCCUACUGUUUUCAUCAUUAAUGAGGCAUUCAGCUUUUAUAAUCUGGGAGACGACUUAAAGAUUAGAGUUAAUUUAAUUUAAAAUCCAUAUACGAGAGAAAAAAGCCCCUGCCUGCGGUAUUGACGUCAAACUGUGGGCAUCUGUAAACUUGGGAGCAAAGACACACACGACAGCAUAUGCCAUGUUAUUAUUUCCAACAGGUGCCCAUAGUCACACAGUCACAAAGUUCUACCAAAGAUAUUCUGAAAAUUGGUCCCCAACUGAUUUAAUACUACUUAUCAGAGGCUUUUGUUUGAUCAAGUAAGUGGCAAACCACUUCUUGGAUUCAUUAUGAAGUCUUAAAAAUCCCACUGAGAAGCUAAGACCAAUAUCAAUGAAUCCUACAUCCCUGAUAUUUUGGAGAAAGUCAUUCAUGACUGAUAUAAUCAAAGAGCUUAGAUUUAUUAGUAGUGGUUCUUAUAAAGUAUGUGUUCUUAACUGAAUUUUAUUGGCAAAAUUAUUUACUUCAGUAUAAGAAUAAGGCUGUGGCAAGCAAUCCCUGGAGGCAUCUAUUUCACAUGUAAUUUUUUUUUUAUCUUCAAAGUCUGUUUUCUGAUUUGUCCACGUCUACAGUGAGUUAGUUUCAGGUAAUUGUUUUCUAUUCAUUCACUCAUUCAUUUGUUCAUUUGGCAGACACUUACUGUGUAUAUCUUCUGUGCCAAGCAUGAUGCGUGAUCUUGGAGAUUAUAAAAAUAAUAAUAGUAGUCUUUCCGUCAAAACGGGUAAGUUAUGCUAUUGUAACAAGUUUAAAAUAAUCUCAAUAGUCUAUCCCAAUAAGUCUAUUUCUUGUUCACAACCCGUCUAUGAGGUCCAUGUGAAAACCUCAUGGCAUCUUGGGCUACAUUUGCUGAGACAAGGGAAGAUGAGACUAGGAAGUCCAGUAGUAAUAACUAAAUCCUUCUAAUUUGUUCCAAACAAGCUAUUCUGCUUGCAUGACCAUGUCUGCCUGCAAGUAGGAGUGCAAUCCCCAAGAGUUUCAUUAGGAGAAACAGAAAUAAAGCAUAUCAUGGUCUGCCAUAUGCAGACUUUACCUCUGACAACCCAGGCCCAAUCUGGUUUUGUUAGCAUGUGCAAGCUUGUCAUAGGCAUUUGUAGAACUUUCAUCAAGCCUUUAAAAUACUAAACACAUCAUGGUAAUCUCCCAUUACUAUUCUCAUGGACAGCUAAAGGAACAGGUGCUCUGUAUUUACGGUGACCCAUCUCUGUUUCUCUGAUAUUACAGACUUUAUUUCCCUCCCUUCCUCUCUGGUCCAGGUAGGAGGACCUGGUCACUCCUUGAGAGUGAUGAACAAAGGAUGACAUGGCGAGAAUCAAGUUAGACUUGCAAAGUUACCAUUAAAUUCCCAUUUAUGUAUGUACGUAUGUAUGUAUGUAACCAGUGGAGCAUUUGACAACUAUAUAUUAAGCAUCUCUACUCAGGCUGUGUGUUAGGAAUGAAAUGUUGAUCAAACUAGACAUGGUUCAAGCAAUAUAAUGAGGAGAUUGACAAACAAAUGGGCAAUCACAAUGCAGGGCAGUAAGUUAUGUUAAAGAAGUGCAGAGUGCUCUGGGAGCAUGCUACUGCGGUGAUCCAGGGGGUGAGAGAAGACCCCUGGAGGUAAUAAUGACUGAGCAGAUGUCUAAUGUAAGCUUGGUGAAAUAGCUGGGGGCAGAGUGAUUAUUCUAAAAGAAGAAUAAAGACCCAGAGGAGAGAGGGAGACAAUGACAAGAAAAGAGCAGAGGAAACUUUUGACAGGAUCAAGGAAUUGCAAGAAGACAGAGUGUAGAAUCAAGGUGUGGGCAUUUGGGGAAGUGAGAUGAGAAACAUAAAGAGGAGCCAGAUUUCCAAGGACCUUGUGAGCCAUGAAAAAGAAUUUGGACUUUGUCCUAAGAGCAGUGGGAAGCCACUGAAAGGUUUCAAACAGAAGAGAGUGAUAUGAUAGGUCCUUCAGAUUUGAAGUAACAGUGGCCCCUUUACAAAAGCCUAGCAGUUAUUGUGUUGCCAAAGGACCCAGCCCAACACUUGUUCACAGCGGUCCUGGUCUUUGGCUGGUUUCCUUAAAAGGGCAAUCUAUGAGGGAGCGGACUGGGGAUUUGUGCAUUUGGUAUGAUCAGGAGCCUUCGGAGAGCCCUUGUGACAAAAUGGUUCUUUUCUCCUUCUGCCAUCAAUACUAAAAUCCCACUCUGGGCAGCCCUGGUGGCACAGUGGUUUAGCACCGCCUGCAGCCCGGGGUGUGAUCCUGGAGACCUGGGAUUGAGUCCCACAUCGGGUUCCCUGCAUGGGGCCUGCUUCUCUCUCUGCCUCUCUCUCUAUGUCUCUAUGAAUAAAUAAAUAAAAUCUUUAAAAAAAUACUAAAAUCCCACUCUUAGUUCCAUCCUCUUUCCAUGUAUCUGUUCAUCAAAUAUGCACCAAGCACCCACUUUAUAAAUGGAAUGGAACUUAUGCCAUAAAAAAAGAUAAGGAUGAGGAUCUUGCUUUCAGAAGGCUAAAGUUCCGGGGGAGGGGGGGGGCGGGAGGCAAAACGAGUUUAAUAGCAUCAUGUAUGGGAGGAGAAUAGAGCUGUAGGAACCCAGAGAAGAAACCAGUCUUUCAGACUGAGGACCCCAGGGAAGACUUUGUGGAGAAAACACUACCAUGGCUGGACCUCGGAAGUUGGAUACGAUGAUCUCAGUGCUGAGCAGUGUUUUCAUCAGAGGCAUUUCAGCUAUCCAUGACAGAAACUUAACUCCAAUGAGUUUAAACAAAGAGAGAGCAUUUAUUUAUUGGCUCACACACUGGGAAGUCCAGAGGUGCCCCUGACUCCAUACCUAGCUGGAACGAGGGACCCAAUAUUAUUAUCAAAGCUCAUUCUCCCUCCCUCCAUUCUUAGGGAAGAUUCUCUCUGGCGCUUAAGAUGGCUCUCAGUGAACUCAGUAUAUUAGUUCCAUUGGGCUGCCUUACCAAAUCACUACGAAGACUGAAUAACUUAAAAUAAUAGAAAUUUGUUCUCUUGAGGUUCAGGUGGGCCAGAGUCCAAAAUUGAGGUGUCAGCAGAGUUGAUUCCUUCUGGAGGCUCUGAGGAAAAAUCUAUUCUAUGGCUCCCUCCUAGCUUCUGGUGUUUGCUGGAAAUCCUUGGGAUUCCUUUGACUUCAGAGGCAUCCCACCAAUCUCUGCCUCCACCUUCACAUUGCCUUCUCUGCAUUUCUCCUGUGUCUCCUUACCUAAAAUCUUCCUCUCUUUUCUAUUGUAAGGACACCAGGCACUGAAUUUAGGAGCCACACUCAAUAUAGACUGAUCUUUCUUGAGAUCCUUAAUUACAUCUACAAAGAAUUUGUUCCAAACAAGAUCCUACUUCAAAGUUCCAGGUAGACAAGAAAUUUAAGAGGACGCUAUUCAACUUGCUAUAACCAGCAAAACCAUCUUUCCCACUACAGCACAAAGAUCCCCCUCCAGCUGGCCCAGCUUGGGUCAUGUACCAGAUCUGGGAUGGAUGGGGGUGGGCUAUGGAGUUCAGCCCCACCAGAACCACAUGAGUUGACUUCCCAAGGGGGAAAAACAUUCGGGUAUUAGAAUAACAGGAGAAGAUGUGCUAGAGAAAUAUCACUGAUAGGAUCCUGGAACAAGCAGGAAAGAGCUUUCUGGGGGGAUGAUAAUGGAAAGGUCUUUGGAAUUAGAACUGAAUAGAUUCUAAAGGCUAGUCUAUUGGCUGCAUUCUCUUCUAUAGAUGAGGAAUAAAAAGCAUAGGGAGGGACUUUCUGAAGGUUCCUAUCCCUAACAGUCAGUGAAGGGUGUUCUGUUGGAGGGCAGAGGCCACCUGACCUGAAUAUGGGGGGAAGGGAGGUACCAAGAGAGCAGGAUAAGCCAGACAGGGAGGCCAGCACUAGGAGACAUGGAUGGAUCUUUAAAACACAUUUCAUGAUAAUUCCCACAUCUAUCUCUGCCUUCGUUUACUUAAGCAUUUUAGCCAUACAGCUACAAGUUAGACUAUUGGUUUUCAGAGGCUACUCUGAAGACCAAUGUUGAGGUAAUGUUUGCAUCCAUCUUCUGUGAUAUUAGAAAAGUAAGAAUAACAUGGAACUUUUUUUAAAGCUGCAUUUCCAUUUAAAGGUCUGUGUUUUCUUUCUGAAAUUGUAUCCUCUUUACCUUUUUUGAUAUUUGUUUGCUAUUUUUUAUUUUAUUAACCCAUGAUCACAGUGGAAAGUAAUUAUUAGUUUAUGUCAUUUAAUUUAUGGCCUAUAUUUGGCAAAUAAAAAUGUUGGAAACCCUA